CAGCAGCCACGGUAAUACGAAGGGUGCAAGCGUUAAUCGGAAUUACUGGGCGUAAAGCGUGCGUAGGCGGUUUGUUAAGUCUGUUGUGAAAUCCCCGGGCUCAACCUGGGAAUGGCAAUGGAUACUGGCAAGCUAGAGUGUGUCAGAGGAUGGUGGAAUUCCCGGUGUAGCGGUGAAAUGCGUAGAGAUCGGGAGGAACAUCAGUGGCGAAGGCGGCCAUCUGGGACAACACUGACGCUGAGGCACGAAAGCGUGGGGAGCAAACAGGAUUAGAUACCCGAGUAGUCCCUGUCUCUUAUAC
RNAcentral lists this ribosomal RNA (301 nucleotides) under uncultured bacterium. RNAcentral's name for it is "partial 16S ribosomal RNA". It matches the Rfam family "Bacterial small subunit ribosomal RNA", at positions 509 to 807 of the family's 1533-position model. The record is from RNAcentral.